This 90-nucleotide transfer RNA is filed under the name Candidatus Magnetominusculus dajiuhuensis. Its description in RNAcentral is "tRNA-Ser". It matches the Rfam family "tRNA". Rfam says of the family: Transfer RNA (tRNA) molecules are approximately 80 nucleotides in length. Their secondary structure includes four short double-helical elements and three loops (D, anti-codon, and T loops). Lineage: Bacteria; Pseudomonadati; Nitrospirota; Nitrospiria; Nitrospirales; Nitrospiraceae. The record is from RNAcentral.
GGAGGGAUGGCUGAGCGGUUGAAAGCGGCGGUCUUGAAAACCGUUGUAGGGGUGACUCUACCGUAGGUUCGAAUCCUAUUCCCUCCACCA